UUCUUUGUAUUGGGUACAAAACUUCCUUAUGCUGAGGCAUGGAAUACAUUGAAUAAAAAGUCCUUUGGAGCCAGGCGCCAGUGGCUCAUGCCUGUAAUCCUAG
Long non-coding RNA from Dipodomys spectabilis (banner-tailed kangaroo rat), 103 nucleotides. RefSeq lists it as uncharacterized. The record is from RefSeq and is a predicted model, not a curated record. The transcript has 3 exons. NCBI's taxonomy places the organism in Eukaryota, Metazoa, Chordata, Mammalia, Rodentia, Heteromyidae.